CGCCUCUUGCAAUUAAAGUAUAAAAGGUCCUGCCUGCCCAGUGAUAUUAAUUAAACGGCCGCGGUAUUAUGACCGUGCAAAGGUAGCGUAAUCACCUGUCUUUUAAAUAAAGACCAGUAUGAAUGGCAAAACGAAAACCCACCUGUCUCUUUUAAUUAAUCAGUGAAAUUAAUCUUCCCGUGCAGAAACGGGAAUAUAUCCAUAAGACGAGAAGACCCUAUGGAGCUUUAAACUUUAAUUAAUUAUACAAUAAAUAAAUCAAAAGACAAAAAAUAUAAUAUAUAAUAUAUAUAAAAGUUUUCGGUUGGGGUGACCACGGAAUAAACAAAACUUCCGAGAUGAGUAUAAAUUAGAAAAACAUUUCAAAAUUUAAAAUAUUUAACAUAAUUGAUCCAAUAUUUGAUCAACGAACUAAGUUACCCUAGGGAUAACAGCGCAAUCCUCUCUAAAAGUUCAUAUCGACGAGUGGGUUUACGACCUCGAUGUUGGAUCAGGACACCCAAAUGGUGUAACCGCUAUUAAAGGUUCGUUUGUUCAACGAUUAAAGUCCU
Molecule: ribosomal RNA, 551 nt
Filed under: Dicamptodon ensatus
Lineage: Eukaryota; Metazoa; Chordata; Amphibia; Caudata; Dicamptodontidae
Description: partial 16S ribosomal RNA
Rfam family: Bacterial large subunit ribosomal RNA
Source: RNAcentral